GUGAGUCAUCGAAUCUUUGAACGCAAAUUGCACUCUCUGGUAUUCCGGGGAGUAUGCCUGUUUGAGGGUCGCUUAAUAAACAUCGAUUUCAUCGCUUUUUUUUUAAAAGUGAUUAUCGGAUUUGAGCCGUCUUUUUUUUUAUAUAUCAUAUAUAUUUAAAAAGUGGCUUAAAAUUGAUUUUUCUGGUAUGAUCGAAGCGUAUUUUAUGAUCAAUUUUUGGUUAAAGAAACGCACGCGUACCAUCAUUCAUAUGAUGUAAUACGUUUGACUAUUGGAUUUAGUUCAUUCGUAUACGAUAUU
Molecule: unclassified non-coding RNA, 300 nt
Filed under: uncultured Septoglomus
Lineage: Eukaryota; Fungi; Glomeromycota; Glomeromycetes; Glomerales; Glomeraceae
Description: sequence contains 5.8S rRNA gene, ITS2
Rfam family: 5.8S ribosomal RNA (bases 1-71)
Source: RNAcentral